Molecule: long non-coding RNA, 2056 nt
Organism: Meriones unguiculatus (Mongolian gerbil)
Lineage: Eukaryota; Metazoa; Chordata; Mammalia; Rodentia; Muridae
Exons: 2
Source: RefSeq, a predicted model, not a curated record
UUGAAGUUGAGUUUGGAGGGGUUUUUGUGCCCCUGAACGCAGCUCUGGCUUUCCGCCACUGUUAGCAUUUAUUUAAAAAUGUUGCCAAACACGCAGCAGAUAUUAUAUUAAAGAGAUUCAUUGGAUGGAGGUGUAGAGAGGAGAGAGAGAGAAAGGGGAAAAGUAGAGAGAGAGAGAUGAUGGGGGCAGGAAAGAAAGCGAGGCAGAGAGAGCAAGAGAGUAAGAGAGACAAAGUGGCGGUUGGUACUUUUAUAGCUUGUGUGUGUGCGGAACUGUACCUUGUCUGCCACACGCACCUGGCCUGCGACACGUGACGACAUCUAGGUUACUAGGCAACCCAGAAGCAGGCUGCCACCCCUCAUUUUCACACUGGUAGAGCUGCAGUGACAUGAAAUGGAGCUUUGUUUUAAGACUACAGUUUCGGGUUCUUUCUCCGAAAGCCACAACGGAGCAGACACUUUUGGAAUUCCAGAAGCACAAUUGAGCCCGUUUCUUGGUGUCAGGGCCCGAGGUGCUAUGUAGUAGUUCAUAGAGCUAGGCUGGUUGCCCUGUGAAAGUCAGAAGGUAUUGGCUGGGAGGGGGAGGCCAGGACAUGCGACAUCCAAGGAGGCUCCCAGAGGGAAACACUGAGCGUUCUGGAAAGCAUGAGCCAGGAGUGGAAGAGGAGUGAAUGGCGUGCGAAAGAGAACCCUGUGUCGUGUUUCAGAGCUAGAGGGGGCCAAGGACUUUGCUGCGGGAAGCAGACUGCAAGCAGGCAGUCUACCUGAUACCGACUUUGCCAAGCCAGCGUGAGACGAGCUGGAGACAGAGAGGGGCAGUUUCAGGAAUGCAGUCGGUCGUGUGGCUUCCUGCAGAGCUUCUGUGCAGAUCCCUCGCUCCAGGGCUGUAUACUGCAGGUGGGCUUGUUGUGAGCUUCUGGCUGAACCUACACCUCUCAGCUCCCCACAAAAGUGCCGGAACUGCAGACAUGCGCACAGCGGCUUCCGGUUUGCUAUGUGUGGGGUUCUGGUUAUCGGGUUAUCGGGUCUGCUGAAUUGACCUUGUGUGUGCGUGAGAGAGAGGUAGGUGUGGGGUAGAGGGCCUCUCAGUGCUCUGGAGUCUGCCAAGUAGGCAAGGCUGACUGGCCCUUGAGUCCAGGGAUCUACUUCUGCUUCUCCAGGGCUGAGAUUACAAGCAUCCAUUCUUUUCUAGUUUGUGAGUAUGCAGUCCUGAGGCUGACAGCCAUGUCUUCUUCAGUUGUCCACGAUCUUAUUUUGGGGUGGGGGAGAAAGGUUCAUACGAAUUUUCCUCAAUAUAUUAAGGUCUUAGGAUAUAAACCUAUUGGCAUGCAAGAAUAUUUAUUUAUCUUAGCUUGUAUUUUGAGACAGGGUCUCUUGGUGAACCUAAAGACUGGGAUACAAACGAAAGGACACCUCAAGGCAAGGGGUGGCAAGUUACACUACAAUGAACAAAUAUGUGAUGGAGAGGUGAGAAAGAUGGAAAAAAAUCGAAGUGGUUUGUGCACUAUGGAGGAGAAGAAAAUGGAACCUGAUGGUGGUGACAGGUGAGAGAGAGCAGAGGUCGACAUUCUGUCAUUGCACAGUAGGGUCGUCAGGAUGGUGUGCUGCAGCCUGGAGUAAGCAGAUGAAGACUCAACUGACCCCCAGCCCCUCCGCAACCUUCUGCCUGGCCACCGGAUCCCCUUGGCAAAGGUGCACUUUCUGGAUUGAAUUUCCUCAAAGGACCACUGUGGUCCAGGAUGCUGCCAGAGGUCACGUUGCUGUCUAUGGCUCAUGCUGCUGCCCCAGGCCUGACAUCCAACAAAAAAUGAGCUUUUUCUUUCUUUCUUUCUUUCUUUCUUUCUUUCUUUCUUUCUUUCUUUCUUUCUUUCUUUCUUCCUUCCUUCCUUCCUUCCUUCCUUUCUUUCUUUCUUUCUUUCUUUCUUUCUUUUCGUGGGAAGGGGAGGUCACAGGGAAGGAGAGGUGGACAUGAAAAGAGGACUGGAAAGGUUGAGUGUGAUCUGAUGGGGUGCCUGAUGUGAAAUUCCCAAAUAAAACAAACAAACAAAUAAACCCAA